This 407-nucleotide ribosomal RNA is filed under the name uncultured bacterium. Its description in RNAcentral is "partial 16S ribosomal RNA". It matches the Rfam family "Bacterial small subunit ribosomal RNA", at positions 30 to 526 of the family's 1533-position model. The record is from RNAcentral.
AUUGAACGCUAGCGGGAUGCUUUACACAUGCAAGUCGAACGGAGUGGCGGACGGGUGAGCAAUAUAUCGGAACGUGCCCAGUAGCGGGGGAUAACUACUCGAAAGAGUGGCUAAUACCGCAUAAUCUUGGAUCGGCCGAUAUUGGUUGAGCUAGUUGGUGGGGUAAAGGCUCACAAAGGCAACGAUCCGUAGCUGGUUUGAGAGGAUGACCAGCCACACUGGGACUGAGACACGGCCCAGACUCCUACGGGAGGCAGCAGUGGGGAAUUUUGGGAAAUGGGGGAAACCCUGAUCCAGCCAUCCCGCGUGUGUGAUGAAGGCCUUCGGGUUGUAAAGUACUUUUGGCAGAGAAGCGGUAUCUGCAGAAUAAGCACCGGCUAACUACGUGCCAGCAGCCGCGGUAAUAC